RNAcentral lists this ribosomal RNA (888 nucleotides) under uncultured bacterium. RNAcentral describes it as "bacterial SSU rRNA". It matches the Rfam family "Bacterial small subunit ribosomal RNA", at positions 475 to 1366 of the family's 1533-position model. The record is from RNAcentral.
GUACCUCUAGAAUAAGCCACGGCUAACUACGUGCCAGCAGCCGCGGUAAUACGUAGGUGGCAAGCGUUGUCCGGAUUUAUUGGGUUUAAAGGGAGCGUAGGCCGGAGAUUAAGCGUGUUGUGAAAUGUAGUGGCUCAACCUCUGCACUGCAGCGCGAACUGGUCUUCUUGAGUACGCACAACGUGGGCGGAAUUCGUGGUGUAGCGGUGAAAUGCUUAGAUAUCACGAAGAACUCCGAUUGCGAAGGCAGCUCACGGGAGCGCAACUGACGCUGAAGCUCGAAAGUGCGGGUAUCGAACAGGAUUAGAUACCCUGGUAGUCCGCACGGUAAACGAUGGAUGCCCGCUGUUGGCCUGAAUAGGUCAGCGGCCAAGCGAAAGCAUUAAGCAUCCCACCUGGGGAGUACGCCGGCAACGGUGAAACUCAAAGGAAUUGACGGGGGCCCGCACAAGCGGAGGAACAUGUGGUUUAAUUCGAUGAUACGCGAGGAACCUUACCCGGGCUUGAAUUGCAGAGGAAGGAUUUGGAGACAAUGACGCCCUUCGGGGUCUCUGUGAAGGUGCUGCAUGGUUGUCGUCAGCUCGUGCCGUGAGGUGUCGGCUUAAGUGCCAUAACGAGCGCAACCCCUCUCCUUAGUUGCCAUCAGGUUAAGCUGGGCACUCUGGGGACACUGCCACCGUAAGGUGUGAGGAAGGUGGGGAUGACGUCAAAUCAUCAUGCCCCUUAUGACCAGGGCUACACACGUGCUACAAUGGCGUAAACAAAGAGAAGCGAACUCGCGAGGGUAAGCAAAUCUCAAAAAUAACGUCUCAGUUCGGAUUGUAGUCUGCAACUCGACUACAUGAAGCUGGAAUCGCUAGUAAUCGCAGAUCAGAAUGCUGCGGUGAA